Long non-coding RNA from Impatiens glandulifera, 1011 nucleotides. RefSeq lists it as uncharacterized. Lineage: Eukaryota; Viridiplantae; Streptophyta; Magnoliopsida; Ericales; Balsaminaceae. The transcript is spliced from 5 exons. The record is from RefSeq and is a predicted model, not a curated record.
CCCGCUUUCCCUUUCCCCCGACCGAGUUACACUUCCCCUUCUUCUUCUCCCAAGCCGGGAUCCGCUGCGCACGACAACACUCGACUCCCCCUCGAGCCCAAGCCCCAGCCGGACGAUCGCCAACCCCGGCGACGCUGAGCUUCCUCAGAUUGUUGACCCUUUUACUGCUCACUAUGUGUUUGCCCUGGGAGUUGCAAGGUUCUUGAGUUGUGCUUAUUGGGUUCUCUAGGUUUUGGAUACUCGAGGUCGGCUAUUGACAGCUCUUGGUUAUGGAUUAUGGCCUUCUAUGGUUCUUAUUUCAGAGAUUGUCCAAACAUUCAUAUUAGCCUAACUUAUGAUAUUACUAUGCCAAAAGUGUUAUUGGAAGACAGCUUGUAUUACGUCUUUCCUCAGGGGUCGUUUGAUGGGGGCAAGUUUCGACUCUGGAUACUUCUAGACUCGAUUAUAUAAAUUUUUUCACUAUUCAUACAGUAGUUUGAAUUUAUUUAGAGCCAAAUCUCUCAAACUUUGUAUCCUCCAGUUUUAGGAAACUUGUAAAUUUUGAGUAACAAGAAUCUGAAGAUGCAAGAGAGGCCCCUGCCAGAAAGUUGUUUGCACAGCUUGAUAAGGACGCAAACAGAUACUUGUCGGACAUUGAAUUGGUACCGGUCAUUGGAAAACUUCAUCCAUCAGAGCGUUAUUAUGCAAAACAACAGAAAUGAUUGCAGGCUGAUUCGGAUAAGGAUGGAAAGUUAAGCUUGACAGAAAUGAUAGAUAACCCUUAUGUGUUUUAUAGUGCUAUAUUCAGCGAGGAAGAGGAAGACGACUUUGAGAAUCAUGACGAGUUUCGCUAGUCUUCACACGACACCGACAGAACUUUGGUCUUCUCUAGAAUUUGAAAAAUGUUUGUAGGAUAAAACAGGUACACUAUCAUUCAUCAUUGGCUGUAAAACUUUGAAGACUUGAUACUUAUUUUUAUGUAAGCAAUUUGUAUUCUUAUUUAUUGAAGAAGAAAGCAUGUAUGUGAGUUCA